ACUUUAUGACGACAUUGAACGAGAACUAUAUGAACGUUAAAAAUGUUAUACUAUAAUCAUGAAUUAUUGAUGUAAAUGUUUGAAAGUUGAAAUGUCCAGGAGACAUUUAUUUUUGGAGGGGAAGGUGUGGAGCCCCACAGAAUACCCCCCCCCCCCUAUUUUUUUGUAUAUCUUUGACUAUGUAUGUAUGACACAAGUAUAUUUCUAGCCCCCAUAUAGUCCCUCCUCUUAGUUAAUUAGGUACCCCCUCCUGCGAGAGUGGCCUCACCCACAACCAACCUAAACACACCAGCUGGGAUACCAGGAGUGGCUUCUCACUUUGUUUUUGCCACGCAUCUCAGUCAACACCUUUCUUAUUUUGUCUUCCUUUAAUAGGUAUGCCCCCUCCCUCGGGGUGUGGGCGCUACACAUUUAUA
Long non-coding RNA from Strongylocentrotus purpuratus (purple sea urchin), 416 nucleotides. RefSeq lists it as uncharacterized. The transcript is spliced from 2 exons. The record is from RefSeq and is a predicted model, not a curated record. NCBI's taxonomy places the organism in Eukaryota, Metazoa, Echinodermata, Echinoidea, Camarodonta, Strongylocentrotidae.